AACGAAGGGUACUGCGAUAACUGAUGAGCAAAGCAGGUAACCACCUCACUAGAACUGAAGGAAAAAUGUACAUGAGAGUAUGAGACCUGAUGGCCCAACCCAGUCUCUUACCGUUGGAAAGGGAUGGCAUAGUGUUGAGGUAGCAAAAACACAAGAUCACAUAUUCAUCCUGCCACGGCAGCAGCACAGCGCCCAUGACCACACAACAGGGUGUGUUAGCUUCCGAAAUCUUUGCUCUGGGGCUCUGCUAAUGGGAAGAAACGAUUGUCAGCAGAGUACAAAUUUUCACAGUCAACAUAGCAUACACAAAACAUCGACACAAAAAUUCUACAGGUGGAUCUAACAAGGAACUAUGUGAUUUGGAACAUCCAGCCUCAUAUUUUCCCUUGCAGUUGCAGACCACCACUGCAUUGCCAUUUAAUUUCCCACCAUACGUCGGCUCAGACCACUGGAGAACUGGACUUAGAGGUAACAAGGCUAUAGACAUAGUUCAUGCAACUAAUUAACUGGAUAGAACAUAACAAUUUGGAGAGGAAAUAAAAACAUAUUGCACCAUGUAAAAGACAAACGGACAAGUUGUUUGACAGCUCUCGAUAUCAUUCGAUGUUUCCAAACUUAGAUCAAUGAUUCACACGUUUCAGUGGCCUACUUAUUGUUUGAUAUUGAGCUCAUGUCUGAAAGGAAUAAAUGCAGGUAGGCCUAGUACAUCCCUGAACAAACACGACAAGAUAAACUUUAUCAAAAGAUUCCCGUGUAUCUACAAUCUGUCGGAUAAAGCAUUCUUUUAGUAACAGAGACAUUGGUAAAUCAUAGGAAAGUGACAAGAUAUAUAGUUAGACGUACUGGUCAGAUCUUCCAAGAAAUAGCUCAAAUGGAAAUAAAAGCUAAGUACUAAGGAGGUACUGAAAAGUAAAAGCACAUGUGAAGAACACAAUAAGUGUUCGAAUCAGACAAAUUAAAAGGACAAGGAGCAUAACUUGCUAACUGGAUAUAAUUUGACUGAAAUGUGUAAAGUUACAAUAUGUUGUACAUUUUCUCCAAAGAAGACCGGGCUAAUAUUUCUGAAGUUUUAGAUGAAGGAGUAUCGGUGCUUAUGAGAAUGCAGAGAAGUGGUGGCUGAGUAAUGAGUGUCAUCUUGUUCUGAAUAUAUAUUGCCAUGAGAUUUUUCAGUAAUAUGAGGGUUGAUCUUGCUUUUUGGUUACUGAAUACCAUUGACUAUGUCCAACCUACUCUUAAUAGUUAAGCAACUCAACAUCUCAUUGCACUCUUUUUCCAAAAGUACAAAGCAAUAGUUCCACUAAUAAUUAGUUAUCGGCUCAUUGCAAUUGAAUUCAACUUUGAUCGAGUAAUGUGUGUCUACAUUGGUUUGUUAAGUCUUCUUGAAGUUGGAGCAUUGAUACUUUAGACAAAACACAAAUGAUGAACAGAUGGAGGUAAUUUAACUGUCAAGAACUCAAGAUGCUGAACAUCAGAAUAUUCUAAGAUUAAAAGAAAAUAUGCUUUAGUUGAUUCUCAAUUCUGUCAUGCUACACGUUUGUGCUCUGAAAACUUAUAAAUGGUUUAUAGUAAAUGCAUUUGAACUUUGUCAUGUUACAUGUUUGUGGUCUCAAGAACUGACGAGUGGUUAGUAGGAAAUGCAGUUCACACAUAUAUAAAUCUACUUUGAUUUAAACAAAUGAUAAACAAAUAUAAUGGGGGAAGCGAUGAGAAGGCAUUGCCACUAACUACUGCAAUGCAAUCCAUAACUGAAAUUUUUUUUUAGGGUCAACGGGGGGAGAGCAUCAAUAACUGAAAGAUGGAGCUAUAAAAUGUCUCUGAGAGAACAAAAUUUAGUAAUUAAGAUGCUUUACAAAUUCAAAGCAAAGUUGAGAAAAAAUGAGGUAGUUCAGCUAUCAUUUCGUGAUGAACUCUGCAUCCAUACUCAGGCAUCUGCAUCUAUCCACGGCGCCUGUGUGAUGCAGAGUUCAUCCGCAAAAUGAUGUGCUGGCAGCCUGGCACAGAUUUUAAUCCCAGUAUUAAUGCCAAUCAACUUUCAUCACCAGUUUUGGAAAUUACUUUUGCUAAGAUAGAUGAACAUGACAAACUCGGUAGGUAUCAAAUUGCAUUCACAAAUCCAACCAGACCCAGUUUAAUUUCAGGAAGAACGUGGCCGGAGGCCCUCCUUGACCAGGAAACUCACCUCCCGCCUCCCGGCAAGUCAGCACCGACACAUUGCUCUCCAGUCUCCACACCGCGUGAUCUCCGAGCGUCAACUCCGUCAAACCCGUGGACUCCGAUCACCGUUCGUGCUGCUCCUCCGCCGCUCUGCCGCCGUUUCCCGCUGUCAGACUCGGGGCACCAUCAGGCUCUUGGCCGGCGGCGUUCAAGCUGAGCACCUGGUGCCUAACACCGGCGUUGUCGGUUGUCUCCUCCCAUCCGUUGCUCGGAGGUGGCCGCAACGCCGGGGACACGGCACGGGUCUCGCCGUCGCGGCGGCGGCGAGGAGGAUUCAGAAUCUCAGACGAAGGGACCCCCGACUCUUCUCGUCAUAUUACCAUUUUGCCCACCCUUACAAGUUGGAUAACGCGG
This 2568-nucleotide long non-coding RNA is filed under the name Setaria italica (foxtail millet). RNAcentral describes it as "long non-coding RNA (SITA_LNC004767)". Lineage: Eukaryota; Viridiplantae; Streptophyta; Magnoliopsida; Poales; Poaceae. The record is from RNAcentral.